CUCGGACUGAGGUAUGUUUUGAGAAAGUUAGAUGGUUCUUGUUCUACAAGCUGAGAGUGUUUAAACACUUGUCUUCAUCCACAAAGGAGGAAACAUAGCCCAGAGGGAGGAUGGUUCUCCGUCCCAUUUGUCCAUCACUACCAUGACUUUCUCCUGUGAGGCUUAAUCACCCUCAGAAAAAGGUGAGGGUUUUCUCUCCAGUGCAGUGCUAGCUAACCUCUGGGAGGCCAUGCCAGUGGUGGGUGAGGCCACUCCAAACUCACGAACGUGCAUACGAAACAGCCACGCACAUCAGCAGG
Molecule: non-coding RNA, 299 nt
Organism: Podarcis lilfordi (Lilford's wall lizard)
Lineage: Eukaryota; Metazoa; Chordata; Lepidosauria; Squamata; Lacertidae
Source: the annotation of a GenBank genome assembly